This 327-nucleotide ribosomal RNA is filed under the name Triticum aestivum (bread wheat). Its description in RNAcentral is "partial small subunit ribosomal RNA". Lineage: Eukaryota; Viridiplantae; Streptophyta; Magnoliopsida; Poales; Poaceae. The record is from RNAcentral.
AUGGGGUGCGUGGGGAGGAAGAGGAAGGGCAGGGGCCAGGCCAGGAGGUUCCGGGACUGCGUCAGCCUCGUGCACCACGCGCGCGACGCCACGCGCUGCGGCAGGCCGCUUGCGCACCGCGCGCUCGCCGCCGCCGUCUGCCGUGUGCUCGGCUGGGACGUCAAGCGGCUGCCCAGCAUCGUCAUCGACCCCUGCGGCACGCUCGGCCAGGCGCUGCUCGCCAGGGAGGGGGCGAGUGCCGCCGCUUCCACCGCCCAGGAGGCAAAGGUUCUCAGCCCAUUCGUUGCUGCAGGUCGCUCACUGACGAGACUUUGUGCUGUAACUUAA